This 23-nucleotide non-coding RNA is filed under the name Rattus norvegicus (Norway rat). The record is from RNAcentral. Lineage: Eukaryota; Metazoa; Chordata; Mammalia; Rodentia; Muridae.
UUUCACAGAUGGGGAAACUGAGG